AAAUGCCUGGGAAGUUCGCCUUUUUAAAAUAUGCGAACCGAACAAAAUGAUAUGGGAAAUCGAGGCGCGCCGGGCGUCGAAGGCUUGCUUUCAGGCAAGAAUCCCGAAGGCGCGCAAAUUAGAGAUUUCCACCGUGUGGAAUUGCUGGUUUCACAUACUAAUAACGGCUUCCUGGGUAUAGA
Molecule: non-coding RNA, 182 nt
Filed under: Acholeplasmataceae bacterium
Lineage: Bacteria; Bacillati; Mycoplasmatota; Mollicutes; Acholeplasmatales; Acholeplasmataceae
Description: 6S RNA
Rfam family: 6S / SsrS RNA
About the family: E. coli 6S RNA was the first non coding RNA to be sequenced, but its function was unknown until recently. It consists of 184 nucleotides that fold into an extended hairpin structure with a large single-stranded internal bulge.
Source: RNAcentral